This 92-nucleotide ribosomal RNA is filed under the name uncultured bacterium. RNAcentral describes it as "partial 16S ribosomal RNA". The record is from RNAcentral.
GCGUGUGCGAUGAAGGCCCUCGGGUUGUAAAGCACAACAAAUAGGGAAGAAGAAAGUGACGGUACCUAUCUGAAGCACCGGCUAACUACGUG